RNAcentral lists this ribosomal RNA (450 nucleotides) under uncultured bacterium. Its description in RNAcentral is "partial 16S ribosomal RNA". It matches the Rfam family "Bacterial small subunit ribosomal RNA", at positions 354 to 796 of the family's 1533-position model. The record is from RNAcentral.
GUGGGGAAUAUUGCACAAUGGGCGCAAGCCUGAUGCAGCCAUGCCGCGUGUGUGAAGAAGGCCUUCGGGUUGUAAAGCACUUUCAGCGGGGAGGAAGGCGGUGAGGUUAAUAACCUCAUCGAUUGACGUUACCCGCAGAAGAAGCACCGGCUAACUCCGUGCCAGCAGCCGCGGUAAUACGGAGGGUGCAAGCGUUAAUCGGAAUUACUGGGCGUAAAGCGCACGCAGGCGGUCUGUCAAGUCGGAUGUGAAAUCCCCGGGCUCAACCUGGGAACUGCAUUCGAAACUGGCAGGCUAGAGUCUUGUAGAGGGGGGUAGAAUUCCAGGUGUAGCGGUGAAAUGCGUAGAGAUCUGGAGGAAUACCGGUGGCGAAGGCGGCCCCCUGGACAAAGACUGACGCUCAGGUGCGAAAGCGUGGGGAGCAAACAGGAUUAGAAACCCGUGUAGUCC